Molecule: transfer RNA, 91 nt
Filed under: Mycolicibacterium parafortuitum
Lineage: Bacteria; Bacillati; Actinomycetota; Actinomycetes; Mycobacteriales; Mycobacteriaceae
Description: tRNA-Ala
Source: RNAcentral
CGCAGCGUUGGUCGAGGAACUGGCGACGGCCCAGCACGCCGUCAAGAGCACCAUCGCGCCCUACGCCGCGCUCGGCCUCGCGGCGCUGCGC